GAUGAACGCUGGCGGCGUGCUUAACACAUGCAAGUCGAACGAUGAAGCCCAGCUUGCUGGGUGGAUUAGUGGCGAACGGGUGAGUAACACGUGAGUAACCUGCCCUUGACUCUGGGAUAAGCGCUGGAAACGGCGUCUAAUACCGGAUACGAGCUUCCACCGCAUGGUGAGUUGCUGGAAAGAAUUUCGGUCAAGGAUGGACUCGCGGCCUAUCAGGUAGUUGGUGAGGUAACGGCUCACCAAGCCGACGACGGGUAGCCGGCCUGAGAGGGUGACCGGCCACACUGGGACUGAGACACGGCCCAGACUCCUACGGGAGGAAGGAGUGGGGAAUAUUGCACAAUGGGCGCAAGCCUGAUGCAGCAACGCCGCGUGAGGGACGAAGGCCUUCGGGUCGUAAACCUCUUUUAGCAGGGAAGAAGCGAAAGUGACGGUACCUGCAGAAAAAGCACCGGCUAACUACGU
RNAcentral lists this ribosomal RNA (465 nucleotides) under uncultured bacterium. RNAcentral's name for it is "partial 16S ribosomal RNA". It matches the Rfam family "Bacterial small subunit ribosomal RNA", at positions 28 to 506 of the family's 1533-position model. The record is from RNAcentral.